AGAUUGAACGCUGGCGGCAUGCUUUACACAUGCAAGUCGAACGGCAGCACGGGGGCAACCCUGGUGGCGAGUGGCGAACGGGUGAGUAAUGCAUCGGAACGUACCUAGUAGUGGGGGAUAACGCGUCGAAAGAUGUGCUAAUACCGCAUACGCACUAUGGUGGAAAGCGGGGGAUCGUAAGACCUCGCGCUAUUAGAGCGGCCGAUGUCCGAUUAGCUAGUUGGUGGGGUAAAGGCCUACCAAGGCGACGAUCGGUAGCUGGUCUGAGAGGAUGAUCAGCCACACUGGGACUGAGACACGGCCCAGACUCCGUACGGGAGGCAGCAGUGGGAAUUUUGGACAAGUGGGCGCAAGCCUGACUCCAGCCAUGCCGCGUGAGUGAAGAAGCCGUUCGGUGUAAGCUCGUUCGGCGUAACGAAGUCGUACGG
RNAcentral lists this ribosomal RNA (428 nucleotides) under uncultured soil bacterium. RNAcentral describes it as "bacterial SSU rRNA". It matches the Rfam family "Bacterial small subunit ribosomal RNA", at positions 26 to 458 of the family's 1533-position model. The record is from RNAcentral.